Molecule: non-coding RNA, 101 nt
Organism: Hypoxylon trugodes
Lineage: Eukaryota; Fungi; Ascomycota; Sordariomycetes; Xylariales; Hypoxylaceae
Source: the annotation of a RefSeq genome assembly
GGGUGCAUGGCCUAAUGGUAAGGCGUCAGAUUUCGGUAUUCAGGUCUUUGAUCUGUGAAUGCAAUCUCUGAAGAUUGCAGGUUCGAUCCCUGCUGUGCUCG